Molecule: ribosomal RNA, 253 nt
Filed under: uncultured bacterium
Lineage: Bacteria
Description: partial 16S ribosomal RNA
Rfam family: Bacterial small subunit ribosomal RNA
Source: RNAcentral
UACGGGGGGGGCAAGCGUUGUUCGGAAUUACUGGGCGUAAAGGGUUCGUAGGUGGCCAACUAAGCCAGACGUGAAAUCCCUCAGCUUAACUGGGGAACUGCGUCUGGGACUGGAUGGCUUGAGUGCAGGAGAGGAACGCGGAAUUCCAGGUGUAGCGGUGAAAUGCGUAGAUAUCUGGAGGAACACCGGUGGCGAAGGCGGCGUUCUGGACUGCAACUGACACUGAGGAACGAAAGCCAGGGGAGCAAACGGG